Hyalella azteca is the source of this 282-nucleotide long non-coding RNA. RefSeq lists it as uncharacterized. Lineage: Eukaryota; Metazoa; Arthropoda; Malacostraca; Amphipoda; Hyalellidae. The record is from RefSeq and is a predicted model, not a curated record. The transcript is spliced from 3 exons.
UUUCCAGACUCAAAUAAUCUUGAUUUGUCAAAUAAAUCGUGAUCAAGUAGAGAUGUAUAGUGUCAGCGAACAAUGGAGGAGGUUACGCGAAAUGAAAAUGCAUCUGCAACGUAACACAAAAAGGCUGCAAACCUUUAACAGACAAAACCAGCAACUGCAGCACAAAGUGCUACAGUUUGAACAGCAGUUGCGGCAGCAAGAAAGGCACCUGCUCCAUCGGCAACUGCAGCCACAUCAGCCACAACAACAUCAACAACAAUAUUAUCAACAAUAUCAACACCA